Molecule: unclassified non-coding RNA, 396 nt
Filed under: soil metagenome
Description: partial contains 5.8S ribosomal RNA, internal transcribed spacer 2, and large subunit ribosomal RNA
Rfam family: 5.8S ribosomal RNA (bases 1-122)
Source: RNAcentral
GAUGAAGAACGUAGCGAAAUGCGAUACUUGGUGUGAAUUGCAGAAUCCCGUGAACCAUCGAGUCUUUGAACGCAAGUUGCGCCCGAAGCCAUCAGGUUGAGGGCACGUCUGCCUGGGCGUCACAUAUCGUUGCCCAAUGCCUAUUGCAGUGCAAUAGGAAUUUCUAGGGCGAAUGAUGGCUUCCCGUGAGCGUUGUUGCCUCGCGGUUGGUUGAAAAUCGAGUCCUUGGUAGGGUGUGCCAUGGUAGAUGGUGGUCGAGUUAGAACGAUACCGAUCAUGUGCAUGCUCCCCAAAAUAUGGCCUCUAUGACCCACACGCGUCUUUUGACGCUCAUGACGAGACCUCAGGUCAGGCGGGGCUACCCGCUGAAUUUAAGCAUAUCAAUAAGCGGAGGAA